CAAGGUCUUUCCUUUGAGACACCAUUUGUCUGGCGUGACAAGCAGCCGCAGCAGGACUGAGGCAAUAUGCCUGGCUUCUGCUCCGGCACCUUCUGGGAUGAGGCUUGAUGAGGAAUGAAAUCGUGGCGCUAACGUGUUACCUUGAAAUGGAGCAGCUUGACAUACUCCAAACAGUUCUUUGAGACUCUCUGGAGACGGGCAUCAGUGCUCAGCGAUGUUUCGAUCAGGCCAGGCAGGCAAUAGAAGCGCAAAUUGGGUGGCUUGCUGAGAGCACGUAGGAAUGGCCAUGCUAGUGAUGGAGGGAAAAUCCAGAUCUCCCAAGUACCAGGCCAGCAUCUCCAUAAAAGAUCAUCCUUCUGUAUGGUUUCUGCCCUGGUUCCUGCAUGACGCUCAGCUCUCCUGUGCCUGAAGCGGAGCCUGUGCUUGGGACAAUGCACGCAGCAGCUGAUGGAGAAUGCACCAGGAAUUUGGGGGUGCUCAGGAUAUUCCUCUCUGCAUCCUGUAGACACCAGUGAACAGUACAAGUUUUGCUGCCUCCUCACCUUCGCCUUUUCAGCAGCUCCCAGCUCAGCGACUUUCUUCCAUUUUCCUCCUCACUGCGCCAAGGACAACAGUUUGUCAUCGUGCUGAGUAUACCACAGCACAGCAUCGCAGGUGUGCAGCACGUGCCAGAACGACUUCCUUUUCUUCAGCUGGAACCUAAGACAAAGAAAAGAGUUUGUUGUAACGAGCCACUUACGGAGCAUUUCAUCUUGACAUUGGCAGCGCUAGCACAAGAAAAGUCAAUGCCACAACUUUCCUGCUUUUAAGGACAGCACCCAGAGGAGGAUGGAGCCUUGAGGUCCUGUGAGUGUUAAGAACGUGUUUAAGUUUUGUUUGUUUGCAAGAGAAGAACCUAAUCUGCAGUGCUGGAAAACGAUGAUACAGAAAACCACAAGAACCCAUCAUUCUGGUCUGGUCCCUGGAUUUUGUCAGAAUUUUUAAAUACUCCUUUGCAAUUAAAAUUCUCUCUUGUUUGUCUUCUUGUUAGCAAGGCUGAUUGGGGUUGGGAAG
Molecule: non-coding RNA, 1053 nt
Organism: Struthio camelus australis
Lineage: Eukaryota; Metazoa; Chordata; Aves; Struthioniformes; Struthionidae
Source: RefSeq, a predicted model, not a curated record